CCUACGGGUGGCAGCAGUGGGGAAUAUUGCACAAUGGGGGAAACCCUGAUCCAGCGACGCCGCGUGAGGGAAGACGUAUUUAGUUACUUAAAGCUGUAUCAGCAGGGAAGAAAAUGCCGAUACCUGAGUAUGAAGCCCCGGCUACCUCCGUUCAAGCAGCCGCGGUAAUACGUAGGGGGCCAGCGUUAUCCGGAUUCAUGGGGUGUAAAGGGGGCGUAGACGGUGCGCUAAGUCAGGAGUGAAAUGCCGCAGCUUAAAGGCGGAACUGCCUUGGAAACUGGGGAACUAGAGCGUGGGCGGGGUAAGCGGAAUGCCUGGUGUAGCGGUGAAAUGCGUAGAUAUUAGGAGGAACACCGGUGGCGAAGGCGGCUUACUGGACCGUAACUGACGUUGAGGCUCGAAAGCGUGGGGAGCAAACAGGAUUAGAUACCCCGGUAGUC
This 440-nucleotide ribosomal RNA is filed under the name uncultured bacterium. RNAcentral describes it as "partial 16S ribosomal RNA". It matches the Rfam family "Bacterial small subunit ribosomal RNA", at positions 338 to 795 of the family's 1533-position model. The record is from RNAcentral.